CAAGUCAGCCGGGUGAUCGCGGUUUCACCGAGUGAAACUGAGGAAAGUCCGCACUCCAUAGAGCAUGGUGCCGGCUAACAGCCGGGCGGGAAAACCCGACGGCAAGUGCAACAGAGAGGUGUAUUGCAGGUCAAGGAUUUCCUUGAUCCGUGAGGGUGAAACGGCGGUGUAAGAGACCACCGGCGGUGGCAGUAAUGUCACCGGCCAUGCAAACCCCACCGGGAGCAAGACCAAGCAAGACGCAAGCUGCCUGGCAGCUGCGGGGCUGCUCGUACCGUUAUGACGUCUGGGUCGGUUGCAAGAGGUUGUCAGUAAUGACAAUCCCAGAUAGAUGAUCACCGGUUUGUCGGUUUUAGAUAAUCGACAACAAUUUUUUGGAAAUAAAAUCACUAGAAAUGUUGCCGAUUCCUCAAGGAAAACGCACAUAUCCACAUAAUUUAUUUCGGAAAACUUUGUAUGUUUUACCUAAAACCGAUAAAUUACAGAAUGCGGCUUAUAGGCUGACUUGGCUU
This 512-nucleotide RNase P RNA is filed under the name Anaerolineales bacterium. RNAcentral describes it as "RNase P RNA component class A". It matches the Rfam family "Bacterial RNase P class A". From Rfam's summary of the family: Ribonuclease P (RNase P) is a ubiquitous endoribonuclease, found in archaea, bacteria and eukarya as well as chloroplasts and mitochondria. Its best characterised activity is the generation of mature 5'-ends of tRNAs by cleaving the 5'-leader elements of precursor-tRNAs. Lineage: Bacteria; Bacillati; Chloroflexota; Anaerolineae; Anaerolineales. The record is from RNAcentral.